CCUACGGGUGGCAGCAGUGGGGAAUAUUGGACAAUGGGGGGAACCCUGAUCCAGCCAUGCCGCGUGUGUGAAGAAGGCCCUCGGGUUGUAAAGCACUUUCAGUGAGGAAGAACGCCUGGUGGUUAAUACCCAUCAGGAAAGACAUCACUCACAGAAGAAGCACCGGCUAACUCCGUGCCAGCAGCCGCGGUAAUACGGAGGGUGCGAGCGUUAAUCGGAAUUACUGGGCGUAAAGCGCGCGUAGGUGGCUUGAUAAGCCGGUUGUGAAAGCCCCGGGCUCAACCUGGGAACGGCAUCCGGAACUGUCAAGCUAGAGUGCAGGAGAGGACGGUAGAAUUCCCGGUGUAGCGGUGAAAUGCGUAGAGAUCGGGAGGAAUACCAGUGGCGAAGGCGGCCUUCUGGACUGACACUGACACUGAGGUGCGAAAGCGUGGGUAGCAAACAGGAUUAGAGACCCUAGUAGUC
This 465-nucleotide ribosomal RNA is filed under the name Vreelandella stevensii. Its description in RNAcentral is "partial 16S ribosomal RNA". It matches the Rfam family "Bacterial small subunit ribosomal RNA", at positions 338 to 795 of the family's 1533-position model. Lineage: Bacteria; Pseudomonadati; Pseudomonadota; Gammaproteobacteria; Oceanospirillales; Halomonadaceae. The record is from RNAcentral.